Long non-coding RNA from Gallus gallus (chicken), 2824 nucleotides. The record is from Ensembl. Lineage: Eukaryota; Metazoa; Chordata; Aves; Galliformes; Phasianidae.
UGGGAAUUAGCAGUGCUAGAAAUUCACUGCUCCCCACUGUAUUCCCCUCUGAGAGUGCUGAACUACAGCAUUAAAUUUUCUCUUUCUUUCUCUCUCUCUUUUCAAACAGCACCAAGAAGACGGAAUGCAUAGGCAGCUAUUAGAAAAGCACUGUUAGUGCCCAAGUCAGGAAAUGCAGCUGUUAAAUCCCGAGCCAUACUGGAGCAGAGGUAUUUCAGAUGAAGCUGCCUUACAUCCCUUAACCCUUCCUCCUCUGGGAGAGAUGGAAAUUCUACUGGGAAGCCCUGGCAGGGCUUAGCACUUGCAGGGAGCAGGCAGAGCGCAGGAAUCCUCCCCCAAGCCUGGAGAUGGCAGAGCAGAAACAAUGCCUAAAGGAGGGCUGACGCUUGCUGUACAACUGACCUGAAGUGCAUAACUUGUUGGAAGUCAAUAUGCAACAAGUGAGGAUCUGCACCCCUACCAAUUGGAAAGUGCCAGAGCACCUCCAGUUUUACCUGAAAUCUUCAAAUGUGUGUUGUCACCAUAUCAGAGCCUCACCUCUCAGCCAAGCAGCUGUUAUUCCUUUUUUUGGUCUGUUUAUUUACUUGCCUACUCGUUUAGAGCAAAUGUCUUCUAGCUGUUCUAGCUGGGCAGCAAAGCUUGAAGACUCAGGGAGCAAAUAAAAGGAACUCCAACUCUAUUAUUUAAAAAGAAAACAAAAUACAUCUUAUGAUCUGCUAAGCGUGUCUCCCUGUCUGCAGCAGGCCUGGCUGGUGCUUCUGGACUGAUUGGUUGGCAGUGCUGCCAUUUCUAACAGCUUUGCAGCCUUCCCACAGGAGUGGUACGGUGGUUGAUAUGUCUCAGGCUGUGUUUCAGCCUGCUGCUGCCUUUAAAAUGGUUGAAAGUCCUUAGCAUAGGGAGCAGAGGUGCCUAAAAAUACCCUCCGUGUUGUGCCCUCUUUUCCACAGCUGCAAUUCACUCCCCAUUAUAAACAAUGUGAUAACUUAAUUCUGAUGGGUCGACUACGGUGCUUUAGUGUGCUAUAAAACACAAAUUUAGGCAGCGCAUAAAAUAAGCUUUUCCUGCCAUAUGACACAAACCACAACUGUCUGGCAUGGACACACAAGCCAGAAUCUGAAAGAAAGCAAAGCACAAAGCCAGACGCGAUCUUUGAUCAUAUGUUGUUUAAAAUUAACAGCACAGAUCAUAACCACACUUAAAUAACACAUCUGUCUGGGGGGUUAGAUAGUACCGCACAAUAUGUUCUUUUAAUUCAUUAUGCAUUUGAAUCCCUCCCAAGUAACAGGUGGUUUUCUGACAACACGGUGUGCCAAAAAAUGCUGGAGAAAGGGCUGGCUGAUUGUUAUCCUUGGAGGUGAGGAAGCACAGGUUCCUGGAGAGCAGUGAGCUCUGGUUCCCUUAACUCUUUUGCUGCUGGCUCUCCAUCAACUCCUGCAGUAAUUACUGCCCUGCCUGAAUUGUAGCACCUGCCUUCACCUCUCUGGGUUUGCUCUCCAGCUCUUAGACUGUACUGUGGGGCAGAAGCUGUGUCUCAAGACAGGGCAGUAACGGGAGCGUGGCUGGAGCUGUGCUUCCGGAGAUGGGAACCUGCUGCCCAAGGGAUUCUGGAUCACGUUCCAGUGGUGGGACUGAAUGAGCAUGCUCUUCUUCAGAGCAGGUGUCUAACAACCUUAGAGACCCUUUAUGACCACCUGGAAGGAAAUGGCACCUUGAGAGGAGGAAUCCUCCCAGGCCAUAACUAUCCAUCUCAAACAUGACUUGUUUGUCCCCAUGAACUGUGAAGUGAGUGAUGAGCUCAGAUGUUCAUGUUCACACUGCAGACAGGUUUUAGAAGGGUGUGUCCCACCCAAGCUGUUCAUAUACUGCUCAGGGCUGUGUCAACAGAGUCCUGCAUUGCCCCCUGCCCAGAGCAUGAUUUAAGGGCAUGUGGACAAGAGGCUGGGUUCCCCUGCCCCUGCCCCCCACAUGGCGUUCCACUGAACAGUGACCAUCACACGUGGAGAAGAGACUGCACAGAUGAGCCAGCCAUAGCAUGAGGCAUGGACAUGAUUAAUGGCACCUCAUUACACCUGACAGCAACUGCUAAACCUUACGAAAUUAGUCACAUCUUUUAAAAAUCUAGCUGCAGUGUCUGGAGCCCUGUACUGAUGAAUUCCCAGGCUGGCUGCACACUGUGGCCUUGCUUGGGCUGCCAAGGUAGAGCCCAGCUGAAUGGAGAAGGAAGGACUUGUGAGAAGAAUCCUGUCUUCAAUCCUUGCCCAGUGAGGUGAGCUCAGUGCUGACAGCAGAGAUGUGCGUUUCCUGAUGUCCUCACAUUAUAACAAUCAUUCAUUUUGACCUAUUCCUUGUACAAGCUGCUCCCGGAGGUGGGGGAAGCAAGGACAUGACUUCCUUUGGGCUUUGCUCAUUUUUCACCAAAUAAACUCACCAGAGGGUGAUGGAAAGCCUUUCCCUCCCUCUUGAUCCCUCCAAGGAUCAAGACUUUUGAUCCUUGUGCCCUGGGACCAGGGGAAUUGCUUCCUCUGGGUGCCUGACACAGGUUCCACCUCACCUAGUUGGACCUGCUGCAGAACAGCCAGGCUCUGUGACCUGGGAGCUGGGCAGAGCUGCUCGAGCUGCAGGCUUUCCUGCAUCUAAUGGCACAUCAGCCCUCGGGUCCUCCUGGGUCACUUAUCACAUGCUGUCUGGGCUGAGGUCUGCCCAGAACAGAUUUCCAGCUCAGUGGCCAUAGCUACUGAGAUGAGGUUCAGUAAAACAAACUUCUCAGACACAUGUUGUGAGGUUAAAGUGAGCCUAUGGAGGCACAGGAAGUUCUGGAGAGCUG